This 506-nucleotide ribosomal RNA is filed under the name uncultured bacterium. RNAcentral describes it as "partial 16S ribosomal RNA". It matches the Rfam family "Bacterial small subunit ribosomal RNA", at positions 29 to 523 of the family's 1533-position model. The record is from RNAcentral.
AGUGAACGCUGGCGGCAGGCCUAACACAUGCAAGUCGAACGGCAGCACAGGGGAGCUUGCUCCCUGGGUGGCGAGUGGCGGACGGGUGAGGAACACAUCGGAAUCUGCCUAUUUGUGGGGGAUAACCUCGGGAAACCGGGACUAAUACCGCAUACGACCUACGGGUGAAAGCCGGGGACCUUCGGGCCUGGCGCAGAUAGAUGAGCCGAUGUCGGAUUAGCUAGUUGGAGGGGUAAAGGCCCACCAAGGCGACGAUCCGUAGCUGGUCUGAGAGGAUGAUCAGCCACACUGGGACUGAGACACGGCCCAGACUUCUACGGGAGGCAGCAGUGGGGAAUAUUGGACAAUGGGCGCAAGCCUGAUCCAGCCAUGCCGCGUGAGUGAAGAAGGCCCUCGGGUUGUAAAGCUCUUUUGUUGGGAAAGAAAGGCAGCCGGUUAAUACCCGGUUGUUCUGACGGUACCCAAAGAAUAAGCACCGGCUAACUUCGUGCCAGCAGCCGCGGUAA